UUUUCCGGUUGAUCCUGCCGGAGGUCACUGCUAUUGGGAUUCGACUAAGCCAUGCGAGUCGAGAGGGUUCGGCCCUCGGCAGACUGCUCAGUAACACGUGGAUAAUCUGCCCUAAGGUGGAGGAUAAUCUCGGGAAACUGAGAAUAAUACUCCAUAGGUCUAGGAUGCUGGAAUGCACUUAGACUAAAAGCUCCGGCGCCUUAGGAUGAAUCUGCGGACUAUCAGGUAGUAGUCAGGAUAAAGACCUGACUAGCCAACGACGGAUACGGGUUGUGAGAGCAAUAACCCGGAGACGAUAUCUGAGACACGAUAUCGGGCCCUACGGGGCGCAGCGGGCGCGAAACCUUCACACUGUGCGAAAGCACGAUGAGGGGAUCCCAAGUGCUUGCACGUAAGUGUAAGCUGUUUCUAUGUUUAAAAUGCAUAGAGAGUAAGGGCUGGGUAAGACGGGUGCCAGCCGCCGCGGUAAUACCUGCAGCUCAAGUGGUGACCACUAUUAUUGGGCCUAAAACGUCCGUAGCCGGUUUGAUAAAUGCCUGGGUAAAUCGUAUAGCUCAACUAUACGAAUUCCGGGUAGACUGUCAAACUUGAGACCGGGAGAAGCUAGAGGUACUCUUGGGGUAGAGGUGAAAUUCUGUAAUCCUGGGGGGACCACCAGUGGCGAAGGCGUCUAGCUAGAACGGGUCUGACGGUGAGGGACGAAGCCCUGGGGCGCAAACCGGAUUAGAUACCCGGGUAGUCCAGGGUGUAAACGCUGCUUGCUUGAUGUUAGUCGGGCUCCGAGCCCGAUUAGUGUCGGAGAGAAGUUGUUAAGCAAGCUGCCUGGGAAGUACGAUCGCAAGAUUGAAACUUAAAGGAAUUGGCGGGGGAGCACA
This 875-nucleotide ribosomal RNA is filed under the name uncultured archaeon. RNAcentral's name for it is "bacterial SSU rRNA". It matches the Rfam family "Archaeal small subunit ribosomal RNA", at positions 1 to 880 of the family's 1478-position model. The record is from RNAcentral.